Molecule: non-coding RNA, 180 nt
Filed under: uncultured Odoribacter sp.
Lineage: Bacteria; Pseudomonadati; Bacteroidota; Bacteroidia; Bacteroidales; Odoribacteraceae
Source: RNAcentral
UCAUGAUUUCGGUGCCUGUUUUACAUAUAAAACGGGCUGAAAAGGGAAUCAGGUGAAAAUCCUGGACAGUCCCGCUGCUGUAAACUCUUGUGGACGGUUUGAACUCUGAAUAAAACCACUGUCUUUUUGAGAUGGGAAGGUUGUUUAAACCGGGAGUGAGUCAGAAGACCUGCCGAAACC